AUGGCUCAGCAAGUUUGUUAGGGAAAGAAUGACCAAACAGAUCAGAAACUUGAGCCAUCUUGACUAGCACCCUCCGAACAAUUUCACCCAGGUACAUCCCGGAAAUUGUCUUCUCAAAUAUCUGCGGAUAUUGCAAGCACAAGGAUUUAUGCUUUCAAUAUCCAUGGCUCUGUCAAAUUCAGUCAGAGGAAGAUUGUCUGAGAAGGCUCCCCACUCAGUGUUGAUAAUCUGCAUUGCAGAGACUUCAGUCAACUCCAUUACCCCUUUUGUUUUAUUUGAAAGAGCAUAGAAAUGGCAUGCAUCCAACUUCACUUAAGAACUAAAUAAAAGACCUUGACUUUUAUUUUGUGAGCAAAUAAAAGAAGUUGACUUGUUACAGCAUAGAGGAUACCGUGUUUCCUGCUCCAAGUCCAAGGUGUUGCAGCUUUGGGAUGACCUCGGUUCGCUCAAUGUAGCAAGCAUUUGUGCCGGUGCCCAAAAUGACAGCAACCAUCACAUCGUCAUCCCAAUAAUGUGCUCCAGCUAAGGUUCCAACGGUAUCAUUUACCUGUUAAGUAUGGUUCACUCUGUUUUAAAAGUUUAACACAGUAUCAUGCACUACUGAUUAAGUGGAAAGAAUGUCACUUCAAAUGCA
Long non-coding RNA from Brachypodium distachyon (stiff brome), 634 nucleotides. RefSeq lists it as uncharacterized. The record is from RefSeq and is a predicted model, not a curated record. Lineage: Eukaryota; Viridiplantae; Streptophyta; Magnoliopsida; Poales; Poaceae. The transcript has 2 exons.